CCUACGGGUGGCUGCAGUAGGGAAUAUUGCUCAAUGGGGGAAACUCUGAAGCAGCAACGCCGCGUGGAGGAUGACGGUUUUCGGAUUGUAAACUUUUUUUGUUAGAGAAGAUAAUGACGGUAUCUAACGAAUAAGCACCGGCUAAUUCCGUGCCAGCAGCCGCGGUAAUACGGCGGGUGCAAGCGUUACUCGGAAUCACUGGGCGUAAAGCGGGCGUAGGCGGGGUAGCAAGUCAGAUGUGAAAUCCUAUGGCUUAACCAUAGAACUGCAUUUGAAACUGUUAUUCUAGAGUAUAGGAGAGGUAGGGGGAAUUCUUGGUGUAGGGGUGAAAUGCGUAGAGAUCAAGAAGAAUACUCAUUGCGAAGGCAACCUGCUAGAACAUAACUGACGCUGAUGCGCGAAAGCGUGGGGAGCAAACAGGAUUAGAUACCCCGGUAGUC
Molecule: ribosomal RNA, 440 nt
Filed under: uncultured bacterium
Lineage: Bacteria
Description: partial 16S ribosomal RNA
Rfam family: Bacterial small subunit ribosomal RNA
Source: RNAcentral